CAAGGCCAGGAGGCAUUCGUCU
This 22-nucleotide unclassified non-coding RNA is filed under the name Chlamydomonas reinhardtii. Its description in RNAcentral is "small RNA Cre_0855". The record is from RNAcentral. Lineage: Eukaryota; Viridiplantae; Chlorophyta; Chlorophyceae; Chlamydomonadales; Chlamydomonadaceae.